GUAAAAUGGCUGAGUAAAGCAUUAGACUGUAAAUCUAAGCACAGAGGAGGUCCCCCUCUUUUUACCA
RNAcentral lists this transfer RNA (67 nucleotides) under Bramus fuscocapillus (southern mole vole). Its description in RNAcentral is "tRNA-Tyr". It matches the Rfam family "tRNA". From Rfam's summary of the family: Transfer RNA (tRNA) molecules are approximately 80 nucleotides in length. Their secondary structure includes four short double-helical elements and three loops (D, anti-codon, and T loops). Further hydrogen bonds mediate the characteristic L-shaped molecular structure. tRNAs have two regions of fundamental functional importance: the anti-codon, which is responsible for specific mRNA codon recognition, and the 3' end, to which the tRNAs corresponding amino acid is attached (by aminoacyl-tRNA synthetases). tRNAs cope with the degeneracy of the genetic code in two manners: having more than one tRNA (with a specific anti-codon) for a particular amino acid; and 'wobble' base-pairing, i.e. permitting non-standard base-pairing at the 3rd anti-codon position. The record is from RNAcentral. Lineage: Eukaryota; Metazoa; Chordata; Mammalia; Rodentia; Cricetidae.